Lolium rigidum is the source of this 1166-nucleotide RNA transcript. It is a transcript of the gene named probable protein phosphatase 2C 16, with no coding region annotated. Lineage: Eukaryota; Viridiplantae; Streptophyta; Magnoliopsida; Poales; Poaceae. The record is from RefSeq and is a predicted model, not a curated record. The transcript has 6 exons.
GCGUGGCAACUAAAAUGGAACACACCACAGUCUAUAUCGAAGUAUACUGAAAGACAAGAGAAUGUCAGAAUCAAGUAUGCUCUGUCAUCUAUGCAAGGAUUGUGCCCAUACAUGGAAGAUGCUCAUGCAGCUAUCCCGGAUCUAGAUGGUGCCAGGACGACAUCAUUCUUUGGUGUUUAUGAUGGCCAUGGAGGAGCUAAUGUAGCAAAGUAUUGUGCGGAAAAAGUUCAUACCGAGCUUCUGUUAGAUGAAGGGUAUCCCAACGAUCUGGGUAAUGCAUUGGGGCGCGUAUUUUCCAGGUUAGUUAAUUGAAUCAUGUGCUCUACAUUUCAGGCAACGUAGCUUUUCUCCCUUUUCAGUAGUCAAAGAAUAGAUGUGCAGUUGAAAGAAUACGAUGAAUGGAGGGUGUUAGCUAACCCCCCAUCAAACCAAUCUGCUAAGUUGUCUCCAGACUCCUGCUUGUGUUCAGGUUUGGUUUCCUCCAAGAUGAAUAUCAAGUAAUUAAUAUGAUUUAAGAUCAAGCCAUUGAAGGAGUUAAGAUUGUAUCACUUGGAUGAUAUGCAUACUAUUACCUGUAAAAUCGAACUGGAAGGAAGGUGUGAUAUGGAUUAUGGAGGAUUUAUUAUACUUUCUUGAGAUAUGCUUUUGAGUUGGAAGUGGCAUAUAAAUAUGUUUACAUAUAGCUCCUCUACCCAAUUAUUGAGUUGGAAGUUGGAGUAGUUGGUAUAUGUAUUGAGUGCCGGGUUUACUGAGUUGGAGGACAUCUACUUCUAAGUUCUGGUUGGUCAUUGCACCUUGGCUGUUAUCAUAUUCCCAGAUUCAAGGGAGCCCCUAAAUUUGAAGGAAGCAUAGCCUGUGUGGCUCUCAUUAGAGGAUACGAGAUCAUUGUUGGAAAUGUCAGUGAUUCUCGCUGCGUACUCUCAAGGAAUGGUCAGGCAAUCGAUUUAUCCACCGAUCACAGACCAAACCUUCCGGAGGAACUUCAGAGAAUUGAAAAUGCUGGACGACAAGUAAUCAAGGAUGGGGUCUAUUUUAGGUGUUCAGGGCAAGCAGGAGUACCUAAGGGUGGCUAUCGUGUUAAUGGGAUGUUACCCAUGUCCAGAGCUAUUGGUAUAACCUUAUCUAAUUUCUUUUGGUCAGUUGCGUACUAUCUAUUUCAUUGUGCU